This 373-nucleotide ribosomal RNA is filed under the name uncultured bacterium. RNAcentral describes it as "bacterial SSU rRNA". It matches the Rfam family "Bacterial small subunit ribosomal RNA", at positions 525 to 896 of the family's 1533-position model. The record is from RNAcentral.
ACGAACCGGGCAAACGUUAUUCGGAAUUACUGGGCUUAAAGGGUGCGUAGGCUGCGCUAUAAGUCGGGUGUGAAAUCCCUCAGCUCAACUGAGGAACUGCGCCCGAUACUGUAGUGCUUGAGGAGGAUAGAGGUGAGCGGAACUAGCAGUGGAGCGGUGAAAUGCGUUGAUAUUGCUGGGAACACCCGUGGCGAAAGCGGCUCACUGGGUCCUUUCUGACGCUGAGGCACGAAAGCUAGGGGAGCGAACGGGAUUAGAUACCCCGGUAGUCCUAGCCGUAAACGAUGAGCACUAGAUCGGGGAGACCUCCACAUCUUCCCGAUCGUAGCGAAAGUGUUAAGUGCUCCGCCUGGGGAGUAUGGUCGCAAGGCUG